This 464-nucleotide ribosomal RNA is filed under the name uncultured Geobacteraceae bacterium. RNAcentral's name for it is "partial 16S ribosomal RNA". It matches the Rfam family "Bacterial small subunit ribosomal RNA", at positions 338 to 794 of the family's 1533-position model. The record is from RNAcentral. Lineage: Bacteria; Pseudomonadati; Thermodesulfobacteriota; Desulfuromonadia; Geobacterales; Geobacteraceae.
CCUACGGGAGGCAGCAGUGGGGAAUUUUGCGCAAUGGGGGCAACCCUGACGCAGCAACGCCGCGUGAGUGAUGAAGGCCUUCGGGUCGUAAAGCUCUGUCAGAGGGGAAGAAAUGCAGGUGGUGAACAACCAUUCUGUUUGACGGUACCCUCAAAGGAAGCACCGGCUAACUCCGUGCCAGCAGCCGCGGUAAUACGGAGGGUGCGAGCGUUGUUCGGAAUUAUUGGGCGUAAAGCGCGUGUAGGCGGUUUGUUAAGUCUGAUGUGAAAGCCCCGGGCUCAACCUGGGAAGUGCAUUGGAUACUGGCAGACUUGAGUACGGGAGAGGAGAGUGGAAUUCCCAGUGUAGGAGUGAAAUCCGUAGAUAUUGGGAGGAACACCGAUGGCGAAGGCAGCCCCCUGGGCCUGUACUGACGCUCAUGCACGAAAGCGUGGGAAACAAACAGGAUUAGAUCCCCCUGUAGU